This 468-nucleotide ribosomal RNA is filed under the name uncultured bacterium. RNAcentral describes it as "partial 16S ribosomal RNA". It matches the Rfam family "Bacterial small subunit ribosomal RNA", at positions 28 to 507 of the family's 1533-position model. The record is from RNAcentral.
GACGAACGCUGGCGGCGUGCUUAACACAUGCAAGUCGAACGGAAAGGCCCUGCUUUUGUGGGGUGCCCGAGUGGCGAACGGGUGGGUAACACGUGAGUAACCUGCCCUUGACUUUGGGAUAACUUCAGGAAACUGGGGCUAAUACCGGAUAGGAGCUCCUGCUGCAUGGUGGGGGUUGGAAAGUUUCGGCGGUUGGGGAUGGACUCGCGGCUUAUCAGCUUGUUGGUGGGGUAGUGGCUUACCAAGGCUUUGACGGGUAGCCGGCCUGAGAGGGUGACCGGCCACAUUGGGACUGCGAUACGGCCCAGAGUCCUACGGGAGGCAGCAGUGGGGAAUAUUGCACAAUGGGCGGAAGCCUGAUGCAGCAACGCCGCGUGCGGGAAGACGGCCUUCGGGUUGUAAACCGCUUUCGCCUGUGACGAAGCGUGAGUGACGGUAAUGGGUAAAGAAGCACCGGCUAACUACGUG